UCUGCAUCUAACGCAACCUUGAAAUGAACUGUUGUGUGUGUGUGUGUGUGUGUGUGUGUGUGUGUGUGUGUGUGUGUGUGUGUGUGUGUGUGUGUGUGUUUGUGCGUGUGCGUGUACGUGUGUGUGUGUGUGUGUGUGUGUGUAACAGUGUGUGAGUGUGUCUCUGCAUUCAUUCUACCUGCCUGCUUUUUCACACUAGGGGGGUUAAAUGAGUCUUUUAUCCAGCACCAUUUACUGCAUGAGUGAACUUAAAUCACUAUUUAUAAGUUGAAAGGAUGACAUUACUUCAGAGGAUUUUGGAAUUAGGCGUUUAUUUUUCCUGUAAUUAAGAGGACAGUAAUGCUUAUUCUGUAUGUUGAAGAUUGACCAUGCCACCCGUCCAUCCAUUUUUAAAGCCUGUCCUUCCCCUGAGGAGCUGAGCCAAUGUCCAAAAAAGAAGGAAAGUCAGCCCCAGCUCCAAAAGAAGAACCAGCUUCUGGAGCAGCAGAACCAGCAUCAGCAGCCGAUCCUAAACCAACAACGCCAGAACUGGAAACAGCUGCUUCUGCCUCAACUGCAACACCAGAGUCAGCUACAAAACCUCCUGAAAAAGCCACCCCUGCACCUGGACCAGCCCCAGUGGCAGCAGCCCCAGAACCAGCCAAAGCACCAGCUUCUCCUCCAAAUCCAGCUGUCAAAUAUGAUCCUGUCGCUGCGGUAAGUCUCU
This is a long non-coding RNA of Carassius carassius (crucian carp), 706 nucleotides long. RefSeq lists it as uncharacterized. Lineage: Eukaryota; Metazoa; Chordata; Actinopteri; Cypriniformes; Cyprinidae. The record is from RefSeq and is a predicted model, not a curated record. The transcript has 3 exons.